This is a long non-coding RNA of Anolis sagrei ordinatus, 1084 nucleotides long. RefSeq lists it as uncharacterized. NCBI's taxonomy places the organism in Eukaryota, Metazoa, Chordata, Lepidosauria, Squamata, Anolidae. The record is from RefSeq and is a predicted model, not a curated record.
UUACGUCAGAACGGCUAUAAAUAGACGUGCAGCGGCGCUCGUUGGUCCUUUCGCCGGAAGUUGCUGGAUUCAGCAAAAUUCGGCCUUGAUCUCAUGGAAUGGAAAGCGCUGCAAGCAACUCUUGCUGCUAGGCUAAAGCACUGUUGAAAAGGCUGGUGUGGAAAUGUACUCUAUAUACGAGGGUUGGAACUUUAAUAGUGGCAAUACUGCUGUAAAGACGCCACACAAAACCAAAGAAUGUCGCAUAUACCAUACGUUAGUUACAUACCUUCCUACGUCACGCGCAUGCGGAGUGACGUGAACAACUGAGCCUUGUAUUAGCUUGCGGUCUAAAGUAAGUGUUGUCACAAUGUUUUCAAAACAAGAACACAGAUAAAAAUUGAAUGUGCCAGAGGUCGUACAGCACGACAGUAUCAUCAAGGUCUUCAAGAGGCUUGCGGGCAAUCUACAUUGCCUUACAGAACAGUGGCAAGGUGGGUAAAAGCCUUCAGCAAAGGAUGCCAAAUGGGGCAGACAUCAUCGACCAGGUUGUCCUAGUGGCAGUGAAGCGGAUGCUGUUGCUGAACUCGUAGUAUCAACAGAACAGGCGCUGCAACUGGUGUCCUACGACUUCCACAACAUUGGAAAUGGGUUGUACAUAAUGCUGGCGACUAUAUUGAAGGGCUGUAAAAUUUGGUGGCAUGUUUGACUUUUGUAUUAUAUGUAAAUAAAUAUCUGCCAUUGUUAAAGUUUCAACUCUCUUAAUAAAGGUUUGAUAAUCCUCCUUGGUGUGGACUUUUUUUAGUAGGCUUUUGAGCACUGCCUUUGAACUGGUGUAUGGUCUGCUUCCAUGGCCUCACUGGUUACGCUGCAGUGCAAAAAUAAAGGACUUGCUUAUAACUGGUGUUGCUCAGCUGAAACCUGAGUGAUAUUUUUAAGAGCAAGUUACAUUUAAUCCUUCGUCUAAUGCCACAGUCUGAAAAUAUCAACAGAAAAUUGUGGUAAAUCCUGAUCAAGGUUAUCUUGGGUUAUGGGAACAACUGAAGAAGGUGAAAAGUUCAAUUGGAUCUGAAGUUUGGUGUAAAAAAAAUCUGGUUCAGAGGAA